Long non-coding RNA from Nomia melanderi (Alkali bee), 561 nucleotides. RefSeq lists it as uncharacterized. The record is from RefSeq and is a predicted model, not a curated record. Lineage: Eukaryota; Metazoa; Arthropoda; Insecta; Hymenoptera; Halictidae.
GCGCGAUGGCUCGAGGGGUUUCUCACAUCGAUUCCAGGGGCCGGUCUCUCGCGGGGGUUCCAUGGGUUUCUCACACCGAUUUCGUAGGACUCUCGCGACAGUAUAAGGGAUUUCUCAAACCGAUUUCGGAGGUCUCCCGCGAAGGUCUGUCGAGCAUCCUAGAGGGGUUUCUCUGGACGAUUCAGGGAAUAUUUCGCGACGGUUUAAGGGGCUUCUCACACCGAUUCCGGAGGUCUCUUCCGGGUGUUGCAAAGAUUUCUUGAAGGAGUUCUUUUUUGGAGUGAUGACGCUGACAAGUGACGAGGAAAACUGUAUGGCGGGCCAUCUAGCGAGAGUAUAGUUGUACUAUUUGGCGAACAGCUUGGACGACGCAGCCGAACGAUAGCGAUGCGUUCAGCGCCAUCUAACCGUGGUUUGGCUAUACUAAUUCUCUAGUAGCUUGAGCGUUUUAUUAUAGAUGGCACUGAUCGCUCGAAUAUUCCAGGGAAUUUAAAAUUCUACAGUUUGGCGUGCUGGAGUGUGAAGGAAUCUUGUAGAACUUCGGCAAGGACUCAAUGGAAG